Molecule: ribosomal RNA, 356 nt
Filed under: uncultured Pseudomonas sp.
Lineage: Bacteria; Pseudomonadati; Pseudomonadota; Gammaproteobacteria; Pseudomonadales; Pseudomonadaceae
Description: bacterial SSU rRNA
Rfam family: Bacterial small subunit ribosomal RNA
Source: RNAcentral
CUCUGACACAGGUGCUGCAUGGCUGUCGUCAGCUCGUGUCGUGAGAUGUUGGGUUAAGUCCCGUAACGAGCGCAACCCUUGUCCUUAGUUACCAGCACGUUAUGGUGGGCACUCUAAGGAGACUGCCGGUGACAAACCGGAGGAAGGUGGGGAUGACGUCAAGUCAUCGUGGCCCUUACGGCCUGGGCUACACACGUGCUACAAUGGUCGGUACAAAGGGUUGCCAAGCCGCGAGGUGGAGCUAAUCCCAUAAAACCGAUCGUAGUCCGGAUCGCAGUCUGCAACUCGACUGCGUGAAGUCGGAAUCGCUAGUAAUCGUGAAUCAGAAUGUCACGGUGAAUACGUUCCCGGGCCUU